UCCGGUUGAUCCUGCCGGACCCCACUGCCAUCGGGAUAGGACUAAGACAUGCUAGUCGAGUGACUCAGGCAAAACAAGUCACGGCACACAGCUCAGUAACACGUGGCUAAUCUGCCCUUGGGACUAGAACAACCCCGGGAAACUGGGGCUAACUCUAGAUAGGUGAAGAACUCUGGAAUGAGUCUUUGCCUAAAUAGGUUCACGUUAUCCUCGUGAACUUGCCCAAGGAUGAGGCCGCGACCGAUCAGGUUGUUGGCGAGGUAAUGGCUCACCAAGCCUUUUACCGGUGCGGGCCGUGGGAGCGGGAGCCCGGAGAUGGGUACUGAGACAAGGACCCAGGCCCUACGGGGCGCAGCAGUCGCGAAACCUUUGCAAUACACGAAAGUGUGACAGGGCUAUCCCGAGUGCCAUCCGCUGAGGAAGGCUUUUACCCAGUCUAGAACGCUGGGGGAAUAAGGAGAGGGCAAGUCUGGUGUCAGCCGCCGCGGUAAUACCAGCUCUCCGAGUGGUGUGGAUGUUUAUUGGGCCUAAAGCAUCCGUAGCUGGCUAGGUAAGUCCCUUGUUAAAUCCACCGAAUUAAUCGUUGGAUCGCGGGGGAUACUGCUUGGCUAGGGGACGAGAGAGGCAGACGGUAUUCUCGGGGUAGGGGUGAAAUCCUAUAAUCCCGGGAAGACCACCAGUGGCGAAGGCUGUCUGCUAGAACGCGCCCGACGGUGAGGGAUGAAAGCUGGGGGAGCGAACCGGAUUAGAUACCCGGGUAGUCCCAGCUGUAAACGAUGCAGACA
This 785-nucleotide ribosomal RNA is filed under the name uncultured archaeon. Its description in RNAcentral is "bacterial SSU rRNA". It matches the Rfam family "Archaeal small subunit ribosomal RNA", at positions 1 to 768 of the family's 1478-position model. The record is from RNAcentral.